Pomacea canaliculata is the source of this 1080-nucleotide long non-coding RNA. RefSeq lists it as uncharacterized. The transcript has 4 exons. Lineage: Eukaryota; Metazoa; Mollusca; Gastropoda; Architaenioglossa; Ampullariidae. The record is from RefSeq and is a predicted model, not a curated record.
UUGUACAUCGUCAACAGCAACUCGACUUACGGAGCGCCGUUAGACUUGAUGCCAUUUCUUCUGCGCAAGCUGGCGUCUGCACUUCCGGUCACGGUAAGAGCUGAUGAGUUUCGAAAAAAUCCGAAGGCACAGACCGGCAACCCCUUGAUUGACACUUAUGGCGAGAACGACCCAACACUGUCAUGAGAGGGAGGAAAGGGCAUCACUAAAAGUGAGUCCUACUUGUCCGCCGCACGGUGUGAUGAUGUUGGUUUGGCUGAUGGUCACGUGAUGUGCAGGCGGUGGACGAGGGCGACCUGAGUGAGAGGAAGGCGCUGAGGGACCGGCUGGGAUGUCGCAACUUCACCUGGUACCUGGACAACGUGUGGCCGGAACUGAGUGUCUACGACCGUGACGUCACGGCCUGGGGCUCGCUCGUGCACAAUGUCAGUGCUCAGUGUCUCGACAACCACAACUACCUCUUCCAGGCUCCAGCCGACCUCUUUGUGUACCCCUGCCACUACAAGCUGGCCACACAGGGAUUUUCUCUGACUAGAGACGGUCUGUUGCGCACGACCCUGCAGUGUGUGGUGGUCAAAGACAGGGUGGACGGAGGGCGCCCCAAGCUGGAGGACUGCAUCAUUGGACCUCGUGAUAAGUGGACUCAUUCCAAGGAGGGCGCUGUCGUGCACGUGAUGUCCGGCCUGUGUCUGGAUCUGGACUCAGUGGGACCUGUCAUGAGGACCUGCCAGCCUCACAGUCUGUCUCAGCUCUGGCAUUUCACCAAAUAUAUAAACUAACUUAUUUUAUUGCCAUGCUUUGUCAUCGCAGCACCACAGGGAGGAUGUCCCUAGCUGUCAGGUCUUAGUUUACUCCCGUUCCAAUCGUUCAUUCUUUCUGUGGUCAUGUCGAUGUGAUAGACAGGUUGUAGCGAAAACUGAUGUAGCUAGUGACAUGGUGAGGCGCUGACAUUGUAAAUAAUUGGUCAAGGGAUAUUUAUAUUUGCUUUCCAAUUGAGUAUUAAUUGUAGUUAUUGAAGAUUAUUUAAGAAAAUUAAUACUCAGAGUUAAUCACAGAAGUAGUCGACGAACGGCACUUUUU